Molecule: ribosomal RNA, 497 nt
Filed under: uncultured bacterium
Lineage: Bacteria
Description: partial 16S ribosomal RNA
Rfam family: Bacterial small subunit ribosomal RNA
Source: RNAcentral
GAUGAACGCUGGCGGCGUGCCUAAUACAUGCAAGUCGAGCGAACAGACGAGGAGCUUGCUCCUCUGACGUUAGCGGCGGACGGGUGAGUAACACGUGGAUAACCUACCUAUAAGACUGGGAUAACUUCGGGAAACCGGAGCUAAUACCGGAUAAUAUAUUGAACCGCAUGGUUCAAUAGUGAAAGACGGUUUUGCUGUCACUUAUAGAUGGAUCCGCGCCGCAUUAGCUAGUUGGUAAGGUAACGGCUUACCAAGGCAACGAUGCGUAGCCGACCUGAGAGGGUGAUCGGCCACACUGGAACUGAGCCACGGUCCAGACUCCUACGGGAGGCAGCAGUAGGGAAUCUUCCGCAAUGGGCGAAAGCCUGACGGAGCAACGCCGCGUGAGUGAUGACGGUCUUCGGAUCGUAAAACUCUGUUAUUAGGGAAGAACAAAUGUGUAAGUAACUAUGCACGUCUUGACGGUACCUAGUCAGAAAGCCACGGCUAACUACGUG